This 425-nucleotide ribosomal RNA is filed under the name uncultured bacterium. RNAcentral describes it as "partial 16S ribosomal RNA". It matches the Rfam family "Bacterial small subunit ribosomal RNA", at positions 354 to 796 of the family's 1533-position model. The record is from RNAcentral.
GUGGGGAAUCUUAGACAAUGGGCGCAAGCCUGAUCUAGCCAUGCCGCGUGAGCGAUGAAGGCCUUAGGGUUGUAAAGCUCUUUCAGCUGGGAAGAUAAUGACGGUACCAGCAGAAGAAGCCCCGGCUAACUCCGUGCCAGCAGCCGCGGUAAUACGGAGGGGGCUAGCGUUGUUCGGAAUUACUGGGCGUAAAGCGCACGUAGGCGGAUCAGAAAGUCAGAGGUGAAAUCCCAGGGCUCAACCUUGGAACUGCCUUUGAAACUCCUGAUCUUGAGGUCGAGAGAGGUGAGUGGAAUUCCGAGUGUAGAGGUGAAAUUCGUAGAUAUUCGGAGGAACACCAGUGGCGAAGGCGGCUCACUGGCUCGAUACUGACGCUGAGGUGCGAAAGCGUGGGGAGCAAACAGGAUUAGAUACCCUUGUAGUCC